ACCAAACCAAGUUAACAGAUUUCCAAUAUCCGUACCAGCAAGUUGAGCUGGACCACAAUAUGUUUGAUUCUGCCAUGGCAAACAUUCUACAGUCACCAAAUCUAUCCAUACACAAAAUUAAGCGCUGAUAAUGAAAACAUAGUCCAUUUUUAUACCAACCUCAAGAUGACUCUGCAGCAGGUUGGGACACUCCAGCCUUCACCAGCAGCUUAUCGAGCGCAUCCGCUGCGCAAACCUGAUACUUCACUUCACCCGAAGGCAGCAACAGCACCUCAGCAAGCUCCAGCUUUUCCGCAGUCAGGCUCGUGCUGUCCAUCGUCUUCCUCAGCACCUUGAGAGCAAGCUCAACCGCUUCCUCCCUCGUCACCUCGUCCUUGUAAUCCUGUUUCAGCAUCGACUGUGCAGCCUGGUUAUUUGCGCCAAUAGCCACCGCCUUCCACCCGCUGUAGUUCCCACUCGGAUCGCUCAUGUAAAGCUGGAAGCCAAAGUUCUUGUCCCACCCUGCAAACAAAAAGGAGACACCGAAAGGUCGAAGCCCGCCAAAUUGGGUGUACCCUUGCUUUGUGUCGCAGAGGGACUGGACGAGUUGCUCUACUGGCAUCGGCUCCUGAUAGGCAACAGUGUAGCGUUGGGCAUGAACACGAGCAGUGUUGAUGAGGAUGUUGGCAUCAGACAUGAUGCCGGCGACUGCGCAGGCAAGGUGGUCGUCGAUCUUGUACAUUUUCUCGGUGGACUUGG
Molecule: unclassified non-coding RNA, 738 nt
Filed under: Hevea brasiliensis (rubber tree)
Lineage: Eukaryota; Viridiplantae; Streptophyta; Magnoliopsida; Malpighiales; Euphorbiaceae
Source: RNAcentral